CACGUAGGGGACGAGCGUUGUCCGGAUUCAUUGGGCGUAAAGCGCGCGUAGGCGGCUCGGAAAGUCGGUCGUGAAAUGCCGGGGCUCAACCCCGGGACUGCGUCCGAUACUCCCGAGCUGGAGGCAGGUAGGGGAGAUCGGAAUUCCUGGUGUGGCGGUGAAAUGCGCAGAUAUCAGGAGGAACACCGGUGGCGAAGGCGGAUCUCUGGGCCUUGCCUGACGCUGAGGCGCGAAAGCUAGGGGAGCGAACAGG
RNAcentral lists this ribosomal RNA (253 nucleotides) under uncultured bacterium. Its description in RNAcentral is "partial 16S ribosomal RNA". It matches the Rfam family "Bacterial small subunit ribosomal RNA", at positions 524 to 776 of the family's 1533-position model. The record is from RNAcentral.